CCUACGGGGGGCAGCAGUAAGGAAUAUUGGUCAAUGGACGAAAGUCUGAACCAGCCAUCCCGCGUGCAGGAUGAAAGCCCUAUGGGUUGUAAACUGCUUUUAGCAGAGAAGAAAAGCUUUCAUUAAUGAGAGUCUGACGGUAUCUGCAGAAUAAGCACCGGCUAACUACGUGCCAGCAGCCGCGGUAAUACGGAGGGUGCGAGCGUUAUCCGGAAUUACUGGGUUGAAAGGGUAGUAUGGCGGAAGUGUAGAAAUCUUGUCGCUUAACGAGAAACUUGCCAAUGAUACUGGUACUCUUGAAGUGGGUUGAGGUUAGCGGAAUGUGACAUGUAGCGGUGAAAUGCAUAGAUAUGUCAUGGAACACCAAUUGCGAAGGCAGCUAACUGGGCCUUGAUUGACGCUGAGGCACGAAAGCGUGGGUAGCGAACAGGAUUAGAUACCCCUGUAGUC
This 450-nucleotide ribosomal RNA is filed under the name uncultured bacterium. Its description in RNAcentral is "partial 16S ribosomal RNA". It matches the Rfam family "Bacterial small subunit ribosomal RNA", at positions 338 to 795 of the family's 1533-position model. The record is from RNAcentral.